CGCAGAGUCCCAGCACAGAGCAGAGUAGAACAGAGUAGGAUUGGAGCUGAGAGAUAAUGGGGUCUCUGUUGCCCAGGCUACAGGGCAAUGGCAUGAUCUCAGCUCACCGUGACUUUUGCCUCCUGAGCUCAAGCAAUUCUCCUGCCUCAGCCUCCUGAGUAGCUGGGACUACAACUAGAAUAAAAGCACAAUGAAUGCAGGAAUUUUGCCAACUUCUGGCGCAGAGAUGGCUUUCAAAAUCUAUUUGGUGAAUGAAUGAAUGAAUUGCAUUUUCUUCCUAAAUUUCACAAUUGAGUGGUCCUAAUCUGCAUAUCCAAGAGCAAUGUAUGUGAGCCUACGUUUCCACAGGCUCACCCACAGAAUGUGUGCUCAAACUUUUGGAUUUUUGCCCAUCUACUAGGUUAGCAUUUUACCUAUGUAUGGCAUUUUCUAUUUUCAGUGACGGACUAUGAGCCGUGAUAAACACAUUACUCCCUUCUUUAACAAAAAAGAGCAUGGUUAACUCCAAAGACUUCUCUAGACCAGCCUGGAUGGUACUUAAACUUUAAUCAACCAAUGCUCAAGUAAAAGAGCAGUAUCCAGCCCCAGCACACCUAACUGUUUUGCAUAACAUAGAUCCCACCCCACAGGCCUUGGAAGCCUGAGGCAGUAUUCUUCUGGGAUAUUUCCAACUAGGCUUCCCAUGAGC
Molecule: non-coding RNA, 688 nt
Filed under: Pongo abelii (Sumatran orangutan)
Lineage: Eukaryota; Metazoa; Chordata; Mammalia; Primates; Hominidae
Source: RNAcentral